GACAGAGGUGCCGAGCGUUAGGCGGAAUCACUGGGCUUAAAGCGUGUGUAGGCGGGCGGGCAAGUACCUUGUGAAAUCCCACGGCUCAACCGUGGAACGGCUGGGUAUACUGCCUGUCUUGAGCCAACUAGGGGCGAGCGGAACAGACGGUGGAGCGGUGAAAUGCGUAGAUAUCGCCUGGAACGCCAAAGGUGAAAACAGACAGCUGGGAGUGUGCUGACGCUGAGACACGAAAGCCAGGGGAGCGAACGGG
Molecule: ribosomal RNA, 253 nt
Filed under: uncultured bacterium
Lineage: Bacteria
Description: partial 16S ribosomal RNA
Rfam family: Bacterial small subunit ribosomal RNA
Source: RNAcentral